RNAcentral lists this ribosomal RNA (253 nucleotides) under uncultured bacterium. RNAcentral describes it as "partial 16S ribosomal RNA". It matches the Rfam family "Bacterial small subunit ribosomal RNA", at positions 524 to 776 of the family's 1533-position model. The record is from RNAcentral.
UACAGAGGGGGCAAGCGUUGUUCGGAAUUACUGGGCGUAAAGGGCGCGUAGGCGGCCUUCUAAGUCGAACGUGAAAUCCCCGGGCUCAACCCGGGAACUGCGUCCGAUACUGGAAGGCUUGAAUCCGGGAGAGGGAUGCGGAAUUCCAGGUGUAGCGGUGAAAUGCGUAGAGAUCGGGAAGAACGCCGGCGGCGAAAGCGACUCUCUGGUCGGAUCCUGACGCUGAGGUGCGAAAGCUAGGGGAGCAAACGGG